UGGGGAAUAUUGGACAAUGGGCGCAAGCCUGAUCCAGCAAUACCGCGUGUGUGAAGAAGGCCUUAGGGUUGUAAAGCACUUUCAAUGGGGAGGAAAACCUGCCGGUCAAUACCCGGCAGCUUGACAUUACCUUUAGAAGAAGCACCGGCUAACUCCGUGCCAGCAGCCGCGGUAAUACGGAGGGUGCGAGCGUUGUCCGGAUUUACUGGGCGUAAAGAGCGUGUAGGCGGUGAUUUAAGUCAAACUUUAAACUCUGGAGCUUAACUCCAGUUCGGGUUUGAGACUGAAUCGCUAGAGAUUGGGAGAGGAAAGCGGAACUAACAGUGUAGCGGUGAAAUGCGUAGAUAUUGUUAGGAACACCCGUGGCGAAGGCGGCUUUCUGGUCCAAUUCUGACGCUGAGACGCGAGAGCGUGGGUAGCAAACAGG
This 427-nucleotide ribosomal RNA is filed under the name uncultured bacterium. RNAcentral's name for it is "bacterial SSU rRNA". It matches the Rfam family "Bacterial small subunit ribosomal RNA", at positions 355 to 776 of the family's 1533-position model. The record is from RNAcentral.